CCCAGCUGUAGACAACUGCCUAGGUUGCCUUGUACUUAGGUAAGUGUCACAUUGCUGGGAGAAAAUCAGUCAAUAGCUGGCAGGCAUUCUGGGCCUGGUUAAUGCCAAAUUUAUAUUAACUUAGAUUACUAUGCCAGCUUAGUUUCCUUAGACUUAUUUAUUUUUAUUGCAAAGUCAGACAUAUAGAGAGGAGAGACAGA
RNAcentral lists this small nucleolar RNA (200 nucleotides) under Ochotona princeps (American pika). RNAcentral's name for it is "Small nucleolar RNA SNORA74 (ENSOPRG00000022439.1)". The record is from RNAcentral. Lineage: Eukaryota; Metazoa; Chordata; Mammalia; Lagomorpha; Ochotonidae.